GGGGAAGGGAAUGGUUUUGGGAUAGAAGGGGGUAGGAUGGGAGGGGAGUAAAAGUUUUUGGGGUUUAGAGAGUAAAAUUUUGAGGGAAAGUAAAUGGGGAGAGUAAAAUUUUAGGGGAAAUAUUCAAAAAACAAAUCGGGGGAGGGGGAUGAAUUUGGGGUAGAAAGGGGGUGGGAUGAGAAGAGAGUAAAAAUUUUGGGGGAAAAGUGGGAGGGAG
RNAcentral lists this long non-coding RNA (217 nucleotides) under Gossypium raimondii (Peruvian cotton). RNAcentral describes it as "long non-coding RNA (GRAI_LNC009189)". Lineage: Eukaryota; Viridiplantae; Streptophyta; Magnoliopsida; Malvales; Malvaceae. The record is from RNAcentral.